GCGCAGCAAGGGCACACCCGUCGAAAGACGGGGCCGCAAAACCACCGGGCUAAAUCCUCCGAGAAGACAGGCCAGCGGGGUUGCCGAU
This 88-nucleotide non-coding RNA is filed under the name Azoarcus sp. RNAcentral's name for it is "c-di-GMP sequence". It matches the Rfam family "c-di-GMP-I riboswitch aptamer". Rfam says of the family: GEMM was predicted in a large-scale screen for bacterial structured RNA regulatory elements. Genes associated with GEMM are involved in a diverse array of functions, including chemotaxis regulation, signal transduction, secretion and chitin. Lineage: Bacteria; Pseudomonadati; Pseudomonadota; Betaproteobacteria; Rhodocyclales; Zoogloeaceae. The record is from RNAcentral.